GCGGUCUUCGUCUAGUGGUUAGGACUCCAGGUUUUCAUCCUGGCAACAGGGGUUCGACUCCCCUAGACCGUACCA
RNAcentral lists this transfer RNA (75 nucleotides) under Leptotrichia sp. oral taxon 498. RNAcentral describes it as "tRNA-Glu". It matches the Rfam family "tRNA". From Rfam's summary of the family: Transfer RNA (tRNA) molecules are approximately 80 nucleotides in length. The record is from RNAcentral. RNAcentral also lists the same sequence under 1 other name. Lineage: Bacteria; Fusobacteriati; Fusobacteriota; Fusobacteriia; Fusobacteriales; Leptotrichiaceae.